RNAcentral lists this non-coding RNA (29 nucleotides) under Rattus norvegicus (Norway rat). Lineage: Eukaryota; Metazoa; Chordata; Mammalia; Rodentia; Muridae. The record is from RNAcentral.
UCCAUCUGUCCUGUGAGAAGCAGUAACUU